UAUUCACAGUAUUCUGUGGCAGCCAGACGGGCGAUGUUCUCUUCAAAGUACUCCAUCUCUUUGGCUGUCAGCACUGCCAGCCUGCGCACCUCUUGAUAAGACCACUUUGCAUCACACUUCUCCAAGGACAGGAUGCUCUGCGGCUGAUCUUCACAGACAAGCAUCUGGAUGCUGACGACGUGCUGCUGUCUGAAUACGGGAUCCAGCACAUGUCCGUCCUCCACAUGGUGAUGAAGGUUCCUGGAGGACUCACCGCUUGACGGAGACCUCCUCUCCUCCUGCUGCUGUUUACACAUUUUAAAGCUUUUACUGUCUGGGCUGUUUUAUUGCAGUAACCCUUUUAAUAUUCCCAUGUUUUAAAAAGCUGUUUCAAAAUAAAGAAAAGUUCUGUCUAAUACUU
This is a long non-coding RNA of Sebastes umbrosus (honeycomb rockfish), 400 nucleotides long. RefSeq lists it as uncharacterized. Lineage: Eukaryota; Metazoa; Chordata; Actinopteri; Perciformes; Sebastidae. The record is from RefSeq and is a predicted model, not a curated record. The transcript is spliced from 2 exons.